Scaptodrosophila lebanonensis is the source of this 315-nucleotide long non-coding RNA. RefSeq lists it as uncharacterized. The transcript is spliced from 2 exons. The record is from RefSeq and is a predicted model, not a curated record. Lineage: Eukaryota; Metazoa; Arthropoda; Insecta; Diptera; Drosophilidae.
ACUAACCAGCGAAAUGUGUGGGUAAUAAUUAAAAGCGGCAAUUUUGAAAUUCGAUGUCGGGAACGCGCGUUCGUGGCGGUGAAGCUGAUCGAAUAUGCGCCUGGUGACCUGGCGAAGAUGCUAAGAUAUGCGCCUGCGCCUCUGAACUUGUCUUGUUGUAGGGCGCACUCUUUAUAUAGAUACCAAUGCCAGGAUUAUCAACAAGUGUUUUACGGAUACGUCUGCGCAGUGUGUGGUGUUAUAUGUGUAAAUGUGGACAUGCGUAAAAAAGAAAUAAAGAUGUGGCAGGCGUAUGUUGAAAUACAGUGAAACCAA